This 23-nucleotide microRNA is filed under the name Scyliorhinus torazame (cloudy catshark). Its description in RNAcentral is "Sto-Mir-551-P2_5p* (star (passenger))". The record is from RNAcentral. Lineage: Eukaryota; Metazoa; Chordata; Chondrichthyes; Carcharhiniformes; Scyliorhinidae.
GAAAUCAAGCUUGGGUGAGGCCU